Molecule: ribosomal RNA, 1245 nt
Filed under: Iranian alfalfa witches'-broom phytoplasma
Lineage: Bacteria; Bacillati; Mycoplasmatota; Mollicutes; Acholeplasmatales; Acholeplasmataceae
Description: bacterial SSU rRNA
Rfam family: Bacterial small subunit ribosomal RNA
Source: RNAcentral
GAAACGACUGCUAAGACUGGAUAGGAGAUAAGAAGGCAUCUUUUUAUUUUUAAAAGACCUAGCAAUAGGUAUGCUUAGGGAAGAGCUUGCGUCACAUUAGUUAGUUGGUGGGGUAAUGGCCUACCAAGACGAUGAUGUGUAGCCGGGCUGAGAGGUCGAACGGCCACAUUGGGACUGAGACACGGCCCAAACUCCUACGGGAGGCAGCAGUAAGGAAUUUUCGGCAAUGGAGGAAACUCUGACCGAGCAAUGCCGCGUGAACGAUGAAGUAUUUCGGUACGUAAAGUUCUUUUAUUAGGGAAGAAAAGAUGGUGGAAAAACCAUUAUGACGGUACCUAAUGAAUAAGCCCCGGCUAACUAUGUGCCAGCAGCCGCGGUAAUACAUAGGGGGCAAGCGUUAUCCGGAAUUAUUGGGCGUAAAGGGUGCGUAGGCGGUUAAAUAAGUUUAUGGUCUAAGUGCAACGCUCAACGUUGUGAUGCUAUAAAAACUGUUUAGCUAGAGUUGGAUAGAGGCAAGUGGAAUUCCGUGUGUAGUGGUAAAAUGCGUAAAUAUACGGAGGAACACCAGAAGCGAAGGCGGCUUGCUGGGUCUUAACUGACGCUGAGGCACGAAAGCGUGGGGAGCAAACAGGAUUAGAUACCCUGGUAGUCCACGCCCUAAACGAUGAGUACUAAACGUUGGAUAAAACCAGUGUUGAAGUUAACACAUUAAGUACUCCGCCUGAGUAGUACGUACGCAAGUAUGAAACUUAAAGGAAUUGACGGGACUCCGCACAAGCGGUGGAUCAUGUUGUUUAAUUCGAAGGUACCCGAAAAACCUCACCAGGUCUUGACAUGCUUUUGCAAAGCUGUAGAAAUACAGUGGAGGUUAUCAGAAGCACAGGUGGUGCAUGGUUGUCGUCAGCUCGUGUCCUGAGAUGUUUGGGUUAAGUCCCGCAACGAGCGCAACCCUUGUUGUUAAUUGCCAUCAUUAAGUUGGGGACUUUAGCAAGACUGCCAAUGAUAAAUUGGAGGAAGGUGGGGACGACGUCAAAUCAUCAUGCCCCUUAUGACCUGGGCUACAAACGUGAUACAAUGGCUGUUACAAAGGGUAGCUAAAGUGUAAGCUUCUGGCGAAUCUCAAAAAAGCAGUCUCAGUUCGGAUUGAAGUCUGCAACUCGACUUCAUGAAGUUGGAAUCGCUAGUAAUCGCGAAUCAGCAUGUCGCGGUGAAUACGUUCUCGGGGUUUGUACACACCGCCCGUCA